This 253-nucleotide ribosomal RNA is filed under the name uncultured bacterium. RNAcentral's name for it is "partial 16S ribosomal RNA". It matches the Rfam family "Bacterial small subunit ribosomal RNA", at positions 524 to 776 of the family's 1533-position model. The record is from RNAcentral.
UACGUAGGUGGCGAGCGUUGUCCGGAUUUACUGGGUGUAAAGGGAGCGUAGACGGCCAGACAAGUCUGAAGUGAAAAUCCAGCGCUUAACGUUGGAAGUGCUUUGGAAACUGCCGGGCUAGAGUGCAGGAGGGGCAGGCGGAAUUCCUAGUGUAGCGGUGAAAUGCGUAGAUAUUAGGAGGAACACCAGUGGCGAAGGCGGCCUGCUGGACUGCAACUGACGUUGAGGCUCGAAGGCGUGGGGAGCAAACAGG